Molecule: ribosomal RNA, 231 nt
Filed under: uncultured bacterium
Lineage: Bacteria
Description: partial 16S ribosomal RNA
Rfam family: Bacterial small subunit ribosomal RNA
Source: RNAcentral
UCUCCUACGGGACGCAGCAGUAGGGAAUCUUCCACAAUGGACGAAAGUCUGAUGGAGCAACGCCGCGUGAGUGAAGAAGGGUUUCGGCUCGUAAAGCUCUGUUGGUAGGGGAGAAAGAUAGAGGUAGUAACUGGCCUUUAUUUGACAGUAAUUACUUAGAAAGUCACGGCUAACUACGUUCCAGCCGCCGCGGUAAUACGUAGGUGGCAAGCGUUGUCCGGAUUUAUUGGG